RNAcentral lists this ribosomal RNA (327 nucleotides) under Triticum aestivum (bread wheat). RNAcentral's name for it is "partial small subunit ribosomal RNA". Lineage: Eukaryota; Viridiplantae; Streptophyta; Magnoliopsida; Poales; Poaceae. The record is from RNAcentral.
AUGCUUUACGGUGGUGGAAUCAACGGAUUAGUAUUGGAGGAUGCACAAACCGAAAUUCAGGAGAUUAGUGAUUGGGUCGGUGAAAAGAGGAAGCAGGGAUUGAGGAACAUCACGGACCCAGCCCCCGCGUCGUCCCCCUGGGGGCGGCUCGGGCGGAACCCUAGCCGCCGCCGCCGCCGACCCCACCAACGCCACCUCCCCUCGCCGCUGCUGGCAGAUGUCGCCGGGCAAAGCCCGCCGACGGCCGGCGGCGGCGGGAUUCGCUCCCUUGCGUGCGCAUCGGCUCUCCUCUCCCGCAUCCUCCCCUGCUUCAACGACGACCCCUGA